Bradysia coprophila is the source of this 203-nucleotide long non-coding RNA. Lineage: Eukaryota; Metazoa; Arthropoda; Insecta; Diptera; Sciaridae. The record is from RefSeq and is a predicted model, not a curated record.
UAUACAGUCGGAGAAAUAUAGAUUUCGUUUUUUUUUAGAGAUUUCAUCAUUUCUCUAAUUCUCUCAAUUGCCAUUUGAAAUAGCAUGCGAAAUGAGAGAAUUCAGAAAAGCGAUGAAAACGAUGAUGUCUCUUAAAAUCCCGAAAUCUAUCUUUCUCCGACUGUAGCUUGAAAAAAAAAUGUCCGUCUACAGAAAUAUUCUAA